Non-coding RNA from Odocoileus virginianus texanus, 680 nucleotides. The record is from RefSeq and is a predicted model, not a curated record. Lineage: Eukaryota; Metazoa; Chordata; Mammalia; Artiodactyla; Cervidae.
CGGAGGGCCGCGGUGCGGAGAGCCUGGUGGGGCUUUCCUUACAAAGAGCGUGGAAACGCGGGGACGCUGGGUAAAUUGACAGCCGUUUCCAGAACACAGGCUCAAUAAUAUCUACCGUGCGAGGUCCUGGGAACAUGGAAACACACAUCCUGACCUUGCAGGCUCAUCACUUUUGAGGAAGAUCCCACCGUGAAAGAAGGGAACAAUGGGGACGAUGCCGAGCUGCGCCCUGCGGGUCUCCUGGACACGAAGGUCUCUUUGUCCCCCGUUUCUUGUAGGCAAGACUCCAGCCUCCACGACCUUCUCUGAGUCCCAAAGGGCAGAACAGUUGCUAAUCAAGGGAGGAGCAGCCAGGAAACCACCUGAGGCAAGAUUAAAGGGCCAUCAAGAAUUAGGAGACCUAACUAUCCAAGCCGCUGCACACCCUAACCUUGUCAGCAACCUCACCCUUUUGAAACUUUGCAGAAUGUUACCAUCUUGAUCCUUCUCAGGUACCCUUGCCAGACUAUAUAACCCCUCCCUAUUUACCAGGGAGGGGGGCACAGUUCUUGAGGUGCUAGCCUACUGUGUUCCCCCUUGACUGGCAAAGUAAUAAAGCCACUCUUUCCUUCUCCUACAUAACUGUCUCCAUGUUUCUGUUUGGCACUGGUGCACAGAGCCAAAAUUUGAGCAACGAGACC